AAGUCGUAACAAGGUUUCCGUAGGUGAACCUGCGGAAGGAUCAUUAUCACGUUGCAAAACACUUAUCAACCUUGCGUGCACUCGGUUCCUUCAGAAUAUUUUAUGGGUUUGGUGGUUUUUGGGUUGUUUGUUGAAGUGGUUUGGAACACCCGCCAUCUUUGGUCUCACAGUCUUUUGAUUGUUUGACCAGCCCUGUUCUGAAGAGCUGUUUUUUGCGGUACCACCUCAGCCGCGUCUUGUUUCACCUUUUUUCCUUUUUAAACCCCUGUACGAUUAAUGAACUGAUUUGGUUCUUUUGUCUGGUCAUUCAGUUGAUCUGCGAAAGAAUUCACUUACAAAAACAUCAAAACAACUCUUAACAACGGAUAUCUUGGUUCCCG
This 380-nucleotide unclassified non-coding RNA is filed under the name fungal sp. Its description in RNAcentral is "partial internal transcribed spacer region". The stretch from base 1 to 46 matches the Rfam family "Eukaryotic small subunit ribosomal RNA", at positions 1786 to 1831 of the family's 1831-position model. The record is from RNAcentral. Lineage: Eukaryota; Fungi.